UACGUAGGGGGCAAGCGUUAUCCGGAAUCAUUGGGCGUAAAGAGUGCGUAGGUGGUUUCUUAAGCGUGGGGUUUAAGGCUACGGCUUAACCGUAGUUCGCCCCAUGAACUGGGAGACUUGAGUGCAGGAGGGGAAAGUGGAAUUCCUAGUGUAGCGGUGAAAUGCGUAGAUAUUAGGAGGAACACCAGUGGCGAAGGCGACUUUCUGGACUGUAACUGACACUGAGGCACGAAAGCGUGGGGAGC
Molecule: ribosomal RNA, 245 nt
Filed under: uncultured Peptostreptococcaceae bacterium
Lineage: Bacteria; Bacillati; Bacillota; Clostridia; Peptostreptococcales; Peptostreptococcaceae
Description: partial 16S ribosomal RNA
Rfam family: Bacterial small subunit ribosomal RNA
Source: RNAcentral